This is a long non-coding RNA of Felis catus (domestic cat), 438 nucleotides long. RefSeq lists it as uncharacterized. Lineage: Eukaryota; Metazoa; Chordata; Mammalia; Carnivora; Felidae. The record is from RefSeq and is a predicted model, not a curated record. The transcript has 3 exons.
AUUGUUGGUAAAGAGGCUAGACUAGAACAUGACAUUUAGAGUUGCCAAAAUCUUUCUCCUAAAUCAGGACAUGCCAACGACCCCACUUCUUCACAGCCUGCUGGGAGAUGAGAGACCAUGUGGAGUGGAGCCAAGUCCAUUCUAGACUAACCAACCCCCAGCAAACCCAGCAAGUAUUUAUGGAUUCAUGAACAAGUUCAGCCCUGUCACCAUCCAAACCCUCAAAAUCAAAUCAGUUAUCAAGACCAAUUGAUUCCACUUUGGCAAUAUUUAUCAUAUUCGUCCAUUUUGCUGUAAGAUCCUCACCAAUUGUUGUUGGAACUAUUUUACUUUUUUAAUUACUUAUGUAAAAAUUGUGAACAAUAAAACCUAAUCCUAAUGUGAAUUUUUUAUUAAAAAAAAUUUUUUUAAUGCUUAUUUUAUUUUUGAGGGAGAGAG